RNAcentral lists this ribosomal RNA (458 nucleotides) under uncultured bacterium. RNAcentral describes it as "bacterial SSU rRNA". It matches the Rfam family "Bacterial small subunit ribosomal RNA", at positions 29 to 486 of the family's 1533-position model. The record is from RNAcentral.
AACGAACGCUGGCGGCGUGCCUAACACAUGCAAGUCGUGCGAGAAAGUUCCUUCGGGAGCGAGUAAAGCGGCGCACGGGUGAGUAACACGUAGGUAACCUGCCCCCCAGUCUGGAACAACUAGAGGAAACUCUAGCUAAUGCCGGAUGAGACCACGAUCCCUUCGGGGGUUGCGGCCAAAGAUGGCCUCUACUUGUAAGCUAUCGCUGAGGGAUGGGCCUGCGGGCCAUUAGCUUGUUGGUGAGGUAACGGCUCACCAAGGCUGUGAUGGCUAGCUGGUCUGAGAGGAUGACCAGCCACACUGGGACUGAGACACGGCCCAGACUCCUACGGGAGGCAGCAGUGGGAAUAUUGCGCAAUGGGCGAAAGCCUGACGCAGCGACGCCGCGUGGGUGAUGAAGGCCUCGGUCGUAAGACCGUCGUCGCGACGGGAGGAAAGUAAAGACGAUACGGUAGUAA